RNAcentral lists this ribosomal RNA (410 nucleotides) under Verrucomicrobiota bacterium. RNAcentral describes it as "Verrucomicrobia bacterium partial 16S ribosomal RNA". It matches the Rfam family "Bacterial small subunit ribosomal RNA", at positions 355 to 776 of the family's 1533-position model. Lineage: Bacteria; Pseudomonadati; Verrucomicrobiota. The record is from RNAcentral.
UGGGGAAUCUUGCACAAUGGGCGAAAGCCUGAUGCAGCGACGCCGCGUGCGGGAUGAAGGCCUUCGGGUUGUAAACCGCUUUCAGCAGGGACGAGGCCGCAAGGUGACGGUACCUGCAGAAGAAGCCCCGGCUAACUACGUGCCAGCAGCCGCGGUAAUACGUAGGGGGCAAGCGUUAUCCGGAUUCAUUGGGCGUAAAGCGCGCGUAGGCGGUUUGUUAGGUCAGGAGUUAAAUCUGGGGGCUCAACCCCUAUCCGCUCCUGAUACCGGCAGGCUGGAGUCUGGUAGGGGAAGGCGGAAUUCCAAGUGUAGCGAUGAAAUGCGCAGAUAUUUGGAAGAACACCGGUGGCGAAGGCGGCCUUCUGGGCCACGACUGACGCUGAGGCGCGAAAGCUAGGGGAGCGAACAGG